Pyrus x bretschneideri (Chinese white pear) is the source of this 611-nucleotide long non-coding RNA. RefSeq lists it as uncharacterized. The transcript is spliced from 2 exons. The record is from RefSeq and is a predicted model, not a curated record. Lineage: Eukaryota; Viridiplantae; Streptophyta; Magnoliopsida; Rosales; Rosaceae.
UGUAGGACGGCUUGACGGCUGUAGGACGGCUUGAUGGCUGUAGGACGGCUAGUGUGUAGGUAGGACAAGGUAGGAUGGCUGUAGGACGGCUAGUAUAUUCCUUAUUUGUCUAACAAUUGAACACAGCGCUAACAAGAAUAGUGAACAAGCAAUUGACUUUGGUAGCAGCAUUGAUCACGAACCAUCUAAAUCUAAUGAUACUUUGAUAGAAUCUGUAUGCCAAGCUUAUGAAGGAAAUGAACUGCAAAUCGGGAUUUCUGACUCCUCAGUACCACUGGUGCAAUCAUCGGUCUGCUUUCCCACAUCUACUACAAUAUUGGAUAAGGAUUAUCCAUGCAAGGAGAGUGCAGUGGACUCUUUAGUCGUCUAAUUGUCAUGUAAUAAAUAGAGGGACAAAGUGCUGCCGAUAAACUUAUAGGUGAUCAUGAGGGGAACCGAAUAAGUAGAUUUUGAUUUGAGAACUUAUAGUAAUGAUGCUUGGAGGAGAAUUAAAAGAUAGACGGAGCUGGUACUGAGACCAUAUUUUUGCAUGGGCCCCACAAGUUGGUCAUUUUCAUAAAAUGAGGACAUUGAAAUGGUGGAAUUAUAUGAUGCAUAUAUCAGAAAUUUGA